This 253-nucleotide ribosomal RNA is filed under the name uncultured bacterium. RNAcentral describes it as "partial 16S ribosomal RNA". It matches the Rfam family "Archaeal small subunit ribosomal RNA", at positions 474 to 727 of the family's 1478-position model. The record is from RNAcentral.
UACCAGCACCCCGAGUGGUCGGGACGAUUAUUGGGCCUAAAGCCUCCGUAGCCGGUCCUACAAGUCUUCCGUUAAAUCCACCUGCUCAACAGAUGGGCUGCGGAAGAUACUAUAGGGCUAGGAGGCGGGAGAGGCAAGCGGUACUCAGUGGGUAGGGGUAAAAUCCUCUGAUCCAUUGAAGACCACCAGUGGCGAAGGCGGCUCACUGGUCCGGUACUGACGCUGAGGUGCGAAAGCGUGGGGAGCAAACAGG